UACGUAGGGGGCAAGCGUUGUCCGGAAUCAUUGGGCGUAAAGAGCGUGUAGGCGGUCCGGUAAGUCAGCUGUGAAAGUCAAGGGCUCAACCCUUGAAAGCCGGUUGAUACUGUCGGGCUAGAGUCCGGAAGAGGCGAGUGGAAUUCCCGGUGUAGCGGUGAAAUGCGCAGAUAUCGGGAGGAACACCAAUGGCGAAAGCGACUUCCUGGACCAGUACCGACGUUCAGGCACGAAAGCGUGGGGAGCAAACAGG
RNAcentral lists this ribosomal RNA (253 nucleotides) under uncultured bacterium. RNAcentral's name for it is "partial 16S ribosomal RNA". It matches the Rfam family "Bacterial small subunit ribosomal RNA", at positions 524 to 776 of the family's 1533-position model. The record is from RNAcentral.